CACGUAGGGCGCAAGCGUUGUCCGGAAUUAUUGGGCGUAAAGAGCUCGUAGGUGGUUUGUUACGGUCCGCUGUGAAAUCCUAGGGCUUAACCCUGGGCUUGCAGUGGAUACGGGCAGACUAGAGGUAGGUAGGGGAGAAUGGAAUUCCUGGUGUAGCGGUGAAAUGCGCAGAUAUCAGGAGGAACACCGGUGGCGAAGGCGGUUCUCUGGGCCUUACCUGACACUGAGGAGCGAAGCGUGGGGAGCGAACAGG
RNAcentral lists this ribosomal RNA (253 nucleotides) under uncultured bacterium. RNAcentral describes it as "partial 16S ribosomal RNA". It matches the Rfam family "Bacterial small subunit ribosomal RNA", at positions 524 to 776 of the family's 1533-position model. The record is from RNAcentral.